Molecule: ribosomal RNA, 253 nt
Filed under: uncultured bacterium
Lineage: Bacteria
Description: partial 16S ribosomal RNA
Rfam family: Bacterial small subunit ribosomal RNA
Source: RNAcentral
UACGUAGGCAGCAAGCGUUGUUCGGAAUUACUGGGCGUAAAGAGUGUGUAGGCGGUGCUCUAAGUUCGGUGUGAAAUCUCCUGGCUUAACUGGGAGGGUGCGCCGAAAACUGGAGUGCUCGAGCGUGGGAGAGGAAAGCGGAAUUCCUGGUGUAGCGGUGAAAUGCGUAGAUAUCAGGAGGAACACCUGUGGUGUAGACAGCUUUCUGGACCAUUGCUGACGCUGAGACACGAAAGCGUGGGUAGCAAACAGG